Molecule: transfer RNA, 46 nt
Filed under: Lardoglyphus konoi
Lineage: Eukaryota; Metazoa; Arthropoda; Arachnida; Sarcoptiformes; Lardoglyphidae
Description: tRNA-Val
Source: RNAcentral
UAGAGUUGUUUUACUUUGCUUACAACAAAGUUUUUUAUAACUCUUU